Molecule: ribosomal RNA, 1562 nt
Filed under: Cnephaeus serotinus (Common serotine)
Lineage: Eukaryota; Metazoa; Chordata; Mammalia; Chiroptera; Vespertilionidae
Description: 16S ribosomal RNA
Rfam family: Bacterial large subunit ribosomal RNA
Source: RNAcentral
GACUAAACAUAGCUCGAAGACUGACUCUCAGUAGAAUUAUCAAAACAAACUUAAAUAAAACAUUAAUUAAAAUAAAAGUAUAGGCGAUAGAAAUCUUACUCGGCGCUAUAGAAGAAGUACCGUAAGGGAAAACUGAAAGAAAAUUGUAAGUAUAAAAUAGCAAAGCUUAGUACUUGUACCUUUUGCAUAAUGACUCAACUAGAAAAUAUUAGCAAAGAGAACUGGAGUUAAGUGACCCGAAACCAGACGAGCUACCUAAUUAGCAGCUUAUAGAGCGAACCCGUCUAUGUAGCAAAAUAGUGGGAUGACUAUUAGGUAGAGGCGAUAGACCUAUCGAGCCUGGUGAUAGCUGGUUGUCCAGAAUAGAAUUUUAGUUCUAAUUUAAGUAUACCAAAAAAAUAAAUAAAUUAAAAUGUAGACUUAAAGAGUAGUCUAAAAGGGUACAGCUUUUUAGACUAGGGAUACAACCCUCAAUAGAGAGUAAGACAUAAAUAAAACCACAAUAGUUGGCCUAAAAGCAGCCAUCAAAUAAGAAAGCGUUCAAGCCCAACAGCAUUUAAAGUUAAUUCCAAUAACAAAACCAACACUCCUAACACGAAACUGGACUAAUCUAUUUAUAAAUAGAAGCAAUAAUGUUGACAUGAGUAACAAGAAAUAAUUCUCCCAGCACAUGUGUAUAUCAGAACGAAUAAAUCACUGAUAAUUAUCAAAAUAAGUACAACUAACAAACUAAACACUUGCCAUUACUUGUUAGUCCAACACAGGAGUGCAACUAAGGAAAGAUCUAAAAAAGUAAAAGGAACUCGGCAAACAUAAACCCCGCCUGUUUACCAAAAACAUCACCUCUAGCAUAAAAAGUAUUAGAGGCACUGCCUGCCCAGUGACUUUAGUUUAACGGCCGCGGUAUUCUGACCGUGCAAAGGUAGCAUAAUCACUUGUUCUCUAAAUAAGGACUUGUAUGAAAGGCCUCACGAGGGUUUUACUGUCUCUUACUUUAAAUCAGUGAAAUUGACAUUCUCGUGAAGAGGCGAGAAUUAAAAAAUAAGACGAGAAGACCCUAUGGAGCUUUAAUUAAUCAUCCUAUGAGCUAUAAAAUUAUUCUAUGAGAAAUAAAUAAACUUCAACUAGGCUGACAAUUUAGGUUGGGGUGACCUCGGAAUAAAGACUAACUCCCGAGAGAACUUUAUCAAGGCCCACUAGUCAAAAUUACUCCAUUAUAUAUUGACCCGCUACUUGGCGAUCAACGGAAUAAGUUACCCUAGGGAUAACAGCGCAAUCCUAUUUAAGAGUUCAUAUCGACAAUUAGGGUUUACGACCUCGAUGUUGGAUCAGGACAUCCCAAUGGUGUAGCAGCUAUUAAUGCGUUCGUUUGUUCAACGAUUAAAGUCCUACGUGAUCUGAGUUCAGACCGGAGCGAUCCAGGUCGGUUUCUAUCUAUUGACAGGUCCCUCCCAGUACGAAAGGACAAGAGAGACAGGGCCUACUUAAAAACAAGCGCCCUAAUAAGAUAAAUGAAUUAAUCUUAAUUUUACUCCACCAAUAUAUGCCCAAAAUAAGGGCCC